GGGCAGUUGGUGUAGUGGCUAGCAUAUUCGCCUUCCAAGCGGGUGACAUGGGUUCGAUUCCCGUACUGCUCA
Molecule: transfer RNA, 72 nt
Filed under: Lizanozyma spartinae
Lineage: Eukaryota; Fungi; Ascomycota; Pichiomycetes; Serinales; Debaryomycetaceae
Description: Scheffersomyces spartinae tRNA
Rfam family: tRNA
About the family: Transfer RNA (tRNA) molecules are approximately 80 nucleotides in length. Their secondary structure includes four short double-helical elements and three loops (D, anti-codon, and T loops).
Source: Rfam by way of RNAcentral